Molecule: ribosomal RNA, 497 nt
Filed under: uncultured bacterium
Lineage: Bacteria
Description: partial 16S ribosomal RNA
Rfam family: Bacterial small subunit ribosomal RNA
Source: RNAcentral
GAUGAACGCUGGCGGCGUGCCUAAUACAUGCAAGUCGAGCGAACAGACGAGGAGCUUGCUCCUCUGACGUUAGCGGCGGACGGGUGAGUAACACGUGGAUAACCUACCUAUAAGACUGGGAUAACUUCGGGAAACCGGAGCUAAUACCGGAUAACAUGUUGAACCGCAUGGUUCAACAGUGAAAGACGGUCUUGCUGUCACUUAUAGAUGGAUCCGCGCCGCAUUAGCUAGUUGGUAAGGUAACGGCUUACCAAGGCAACGAUGCGUAGCCGACCUGAGAGGGUGAUCGGCCACACUGGAACUGAGACACGGUCCAGACUCCUACGGGAGGCAGCAGUAGGGAAUCUUCCGCAAUGGGCGAAAGCCUGACGGAGCCACGCCGCGUGAGUGAUGAAGGUCUUCGGAUCGUAAAACUCUGUUAUUAGGGAAGAACAAAUGUGUAAGUAACUAUGCACGUCUUGACGGUACCUAAUCAGAAAGCCACGGCUAACUACGUG